GACGAACGCUGGCGGCGUGCUUAACACAUGCAAGUCGAGCGAAGAGCGAUGGAAGCUUGCUUCUAUCAAUCUUAGUGGCGCACGGGUGAGGAACGCGUAAUCAACCUGCCCUUCAGAGGGGGACAACAGUUGGAAACGACUGCUAAUACCGCAUACGAUCUAAUCUCGGCAUCGAGGAUAGAUGAAAGGUGGCCUCUACAUGUAAGCUAUCACUGAAGGAGGGGAUUGCGUCUGAUUAGCUAGUUGGAGGGGUAACGGCCCACCAAGGCGAUGAUCAGUAGCCGGUCUGAGAGGAUGAACGGCCACAUUGGGACUGAGACACGGCCCAGACUCCUACGGGAGGCAGCAGUGGGGAAUCUUCCGCAAUGGACGAAAGUCUGACGGAGCAACGCCGCGUGAGUGAUGACGGCCUUCGGGUUGUAAAGCUCUGUUAAUCGGGACGAAAGGCCUUCUUGCGAAUAGUGAGAAGGAUUGACGGUACCGGAAUAGAAAGCCACGGCUAACUACGUG
This 510-nucleotide ribosomal RNA is filed under the name uncultured bacterium. RNAcentral describes it as "partial 16S ribosomal RNA". It matches the Rfam family "Bacterial small subunit ribosomal RNA", at positions 28 to 507 of the family's 1533-position model. The record is from RNAcentral.